This 463-nucleotide ribosomal RNA is filed under the name uncultured bacterium. RNAcentral's name for it is "partial 16S ribosomal RNA". It matches the Rfam family "Bacterial small subunit ribosomal RNA", at positions 28 to 507 of the family's 1533-position model. The record is from RNAcentral.
GACGAACGCUGGCGGCGUACUUAACACAUGCCAGUCGAACGGAAAGGCCUUUUCGGAGGUACUCGAGUGGCGAACGGGUGAGUAACACGUGGGUGAUCUGCCCUGCACUCUGGGAUAAGCCUGGGAAACUGGGUCUAAUACCGGAUAGGACCGCACUUUAGUGUGUGUGGUGGAAAGUUUUUUCGGUGUAGGAUGAGCCCGCGGCCUAUCAGCUUGUUGGUGGGGUAAUGGCCUACCAAGGCGGCGACGGGUAGCCGGACUGAGAGGUUGGUCGGCCACAUUGGGACUGAGAUACGGCCCAGACUCCUACGGGAGGCAGCAGUGGGGAAUAUUGCACGAUGGGCGCAAGCCUGAUGCAGCGACGCCGCGUGGGGGAUGACGGCCUUCGGGUUGUAAACUCCUUUCGCCAGGGACGAAGCGUUUUGUGACGGUACCUGGAGAAGAAGCACCGGCUAACUACGUG